This 450-nucleotide ribosomal RNA is filed under the name uncultured Glomeromycotina. Its description in RNAcentral is "SSU rRNA". It matches the Rfam family "Eukaryotic small subunit ribosomal RNA", at positions 569 to 1023 of the family's 1831-position model. Lineage: Eukaryota; Fungi; Glomeromycota. The record is from RNAcentral.
AGCAGCCGCGGUAAUUCCAGCUCCAAUAGCGUAUAUUAAAGUUGUUGCAGUUAAAAAGCUCGUAGUUGAAUUUCGGGAUCAAUAUGUCUGUCGUGCCUUUGGUACGUACGGGUAUAAUUGGUUUCUACCUUCUGAUGAACCUUGAUGCCAUUAAUUUGGUGUCUUGGGGACUCAGGACUGUUACCUUGAAAAAAUUAGAGUGUUUAAAGCAGGCAUACGCUUGAAUACAUUAGCAUGGAAUAAUGAAAUAGGACGUUCGAUUCUAUUUUGUUGGUUUCUAGGAUCGACGUAAUGAUUAAUAGGGAUAGUUGGGGGCAUUAGUAUUCAAUUGUCAGAGGUGAAAUUCUUGGAUUUAUUGAAGACUAACUACUGCGAAAGCAUUUGCCAAGGAUGUCUUCAUUAAUCAAGAACGAAAGUUAGGGGAUCGAAGACGAUCAGAUACCGUCGUAG